RNAcentral lists this ribosomal RNA (568 nucleotides) under uncultured bacterium. RNAcentral describes it as "bacterial SSU rRNA". It matches the Rfam family "Bacterial small subunit ribosomal RNA", at positions 289 to 873 of the family's 1533-position model. The record is from RNAcentral.
GGGCUGAGAGGUCGGCCGGCCACAUCGGAACUGAGACACUGUCCGGACUCCUACGGGGGGCUGCAGUAAUGAAUCUUCCGCAAUGCACGCAAGUGUGACGGAGCGACGCCGCGUGUGGGAUGAAGUCCUUCGGGAUGUAAACCACUGUCAGUGGAAAGAAAUUUUUGAUCUACCACAAAGGAAGUAGCGACUAACUCUGUGCCAGCAGUCGCGGUAAUACAGAGGCUACAAGCGUUAGGCGGAAUCACUGGGCUUAAAGCGUGUGUAGGCGGGAUGGUAAGUACCUUGUGAAAUCCCACGGCUUAACCGUGGAAUUGCUUGGUAUACUGCCGUUCUUGAGCCACUUAGGGGCAGCUAGAACAGAUGGUGGAGCGGUGAAAUGCGUAGAUAUCAUCUGGAAUGCCAACGGUGAAGACAAGCUGCUGGGAGUGUGCUGACGCUGAGGCACGAAAGCCAGGGGAGCAAACGGGAUUAGAUACCCCGGUAGUCCUGGCCCUAAACGAUGUCUACUAGAUCGUAGUCGCUCUGACGUGAUUACGGUCGAAGCAAAAGUGUUAAGUAGACCGCC